Molecule: long non-coding RNA, 1097 nt
Filed under: Pan paniscus (pygmy chimpanzee)
Lineage: Eukaryota; Metazoa; Chordata; Mammalia; Primates; Hominidae
Description: lncRNA (ENSPPAG00000044820.1)
Source: RNAcentral
AUAAUUUAUGAAUAAUGAAAAAGCUGACACGGAAAUCUCAAAAAAUCUUCCAUUUCUCUUGAAGAAUAGGGUGAAGAUUCUUAAGAGUAGUGUCUCUGUCACUCCUGCUGUUGAAAAAAUCUCCAUGAUCUUCUUUGAGAAAAAGGACCUUCACCUAACUCAAUGUGGUCUGAAGUGCCUGCAAAAACUUUGAUUCCAACUUUUUUUUUCAUCAUUUAAAUCUGGAAUGGGAACACAUACGGAAGUGAACAUAAUUGUGACUUGACACUUUUAAUUUUAAUUGGAAUGCUAGAUGAAAAACUAAUCAAGGAAAUCCAGGAGGCUUCUCCCAUUUCUGAAGAACUAUCUAGAGAUGUUUGGAACCACAGUUGCUUUUGAUCUGUGCCAUUUUGAGCCUUCUUUGAUGAAUGAUGUCAAAUGUCUUUUUUCUUUCACUCCCUUUGAAGAAUCAUGCCAUUAUUCAUCAAAGCCCAAUUCAACCCUGAUGUUUUAUUCCAAUAUGUGUGCCAAGAAGAGAUCUGGAUGUUGGAUAAGUGCCUCUCUUUAUUCUAAGUGUGGGAGGGGAUUUAAAUUAUCUUGAAAAAGAGCUCCACAACUUUUCUACAUUUGGGGAAGCCUCGGCAAUGAGCAAUUACCAGUAAUUUUUUUGCUAUAUAUCCUAAAACAUUCAGUUUCAUAGCAUUAAUGCAAUCGACUGUAAGGUGCAAUUUUACUCAUAAUUUAAGAAAAAUGCCAAGGAAUGACAGAGUUAUUUUGUAAAAACUCUCCUCCCAUUCAUGUGGGGAUACUUCAUUUGUUUGGAAAGAACAUAUGUCUUUGAUGCUUUUCCCUCUCCCCUCACCCAAUUGUGGAUGAAGCAAGCUCACUUGGAUGGAAUUGCUUGCUCUCUUCCUUCUCAUUCAAGAAACCUUCUGAAACUUCAUUUCUUCAUUGUGGUGGAACAACUCCAAUUUCCUGGAUAUUAUAAAUUCAACCCCAGGCCUGGCGCAGUGGCUCACGCCUGUAAUCACAGCACUUUGGGAGGCCAAGGCAGGUGGAUCAUGAGUCAAGAGAUCGAAACAAUCCUGGCCAACAUGGUGAAACCACGUUCCUGCUAA